Monodelphis domestica (gray short-tailed opossum) is the source of this 59-nucleotide microRNA precursor. Lineage: Eukaryota; Metazoa; Chordata; Mammalia; Didelphimorphia; Didelphidae. The record is from Ensembl.
AGUUGUACCAGAUGUUACCUUUUAUGGACUGUUGAAAAAGGUACUUCCUGUGCAAUAGA